RNAcentral lists this ribosomal RNA (853 nucleotides) under uncultured cyanobacterium. RNAcentral describes it as "bacterial SSU rRNA". It matches the Rfam family "Bacterial small subunit ribosomal RNA", at positions 528 to 1387 of the family's 1533-position model. The record is from RNAcentral. Lineage: Bacteria; Bacillati; Cyanobacteriota.
GAGGAGAGCAGCGUUAUCCGGAUUUAUUGGGCGUAAAGCGUCCGCAGGUGGCUUGUCAAGUCUGCUGUCAAAGCGCGAGGCUUAACUUCGUAACGGCAGUGGAAACUGACAGGCUUGAGAAUGAUAGGGGCAGAGGGAAUUCCCAGUGUACGGUGAAAUGCGUAAGAUUGGGAAAACACCGGUGGCGAAAGCGCUCUGCUGGGUCAUAUCUGACACUGAGGACGAAAGCUAGGGAGCGAAAGGGAUUAAUACCCCUGUAGUCCUAGCCGUAAACGAUGGACACUAGGCGUUGACCGUAUCGACCCGGUCAGUGCCGUAGCUAACGCGUUAAGUGUCCCGCCUGGGGAGUACGCGCGCAAGCGUGAAACUCAAAGGAAUUGACGGGGGCCCGCACAAGCGGUGGAGUAUGUGGUUUAAUUCGAUGCAACGCGAAGAACCUUACCAGGGCUUGACAUGUCGCGAAUCAGAGUGAAAGCUUUGAGUGCCUUCGGGAGCGCGAACACAGGUGGUGCAUGGCUGUCGCCAGCUCGUGUCGUGAGAUGUUGGGUUAAGUCCCGCAACGAGCGCAACCCUCGUUUUUAGUUGCCAUCAUUCAGUUGGGCACUCUAGAGAGACUGCCGGUGACAAACCGGAGGAAGGUGGGGAUGACGUCAAGUCAGCAUGCCCCUUACGUCCUGGGCUACACACGUACUACAAUGCUACGGACAAAGGGUUGCAAGCGCGCGAGUGCAAGCUAAUCCCAUAAACCGUGGCUCAGUUCAGAUUGCAGGCUGCAACUCGCCUGCAUGAAGGCGGAAUCGCUAGUAAUCGCAGGUCAGCAUACUGCGGUGAAUACGUUCCCGGGCCUUGUACA